UGGGGAAUAUUAGACAAUGGGCGCAAGCCUGAUCUAGCCAUGCCGCGUGAGUGAAGAAGGCCCUAGGGUUGUAAAGCUCUUUCAGAUGUGAGGAUGAUGACAGUAACAUCAGGAGAAGCCCCGGCUAACUUCGUGCCAGCAGCCGCGGUAAUACGAAGGGGGCUAGCGUUGUUCGGAAUUACUGGGCGUAAAGGGCGCGUAGGCGGACUAAUUAGUCUGGUGUGAAAUCCCGGGGCUCAACCUCGGAACUGCACCAGAUACUGUUAGUCUAGAAUCCCGGAGGGGGGUGUGGAAUUUCUAGUGUAGAGGUGAAAUUCGUAGAUAUUAGAAAGAACACCGGUGGCGAAGGC
This 350-nucleotide ribosomal RNA is filed under the name uncultured bacterium. Its description in RNAcentral is "bacterial SSU rRNA". It matches the Rfam family "Bacterial small subunit ribosomal RNA", at positions 355 to 722 of the family's 1533-position model. The record is from RNAcentral.